Long non-coding RNA from Panicum virgatum (switchgrass), 1686 nucleotides. RefSeq lists it as uncharacterized. The record is from RefSeq and is a predicted model, not a curated record. Lineage: Eukaryota; Viridiplantae; Streptophyta; Magnoliopsida; Poales; Poaceae. The transcript has 2 exons.
UUGUGGGCUGGUGAGAAAAUGAGAGGCCCAAAGCCCACUAGGGUUAGAACUUAAGAAGCAAGACUGGAGAGGCUCCCAGCUAGGCAGCCACCAUUCCGUCCCGACCGAGCCGCGCCUGUGUCGGCAGCCGCCGCUCCCUCCAUUGCCGCCGCCGCCAUGGCCCGUCGACACCGCGAGCGAGCUGAGCUGCCCCGACCGGCGACCUCCUUCCCUCCUUUCCCUCCGGCGAGCUGCCCCGACCCGCGACCUCCUCCUGUCGGCGCGCGAGCGCGAGCACGGGUGACGGGUCCGGCGAGCUCCAGAGAAGAUGGCUUCGUCGUCCUCUGAUAGUGAAGGGGAGCUGAGGCGCGCUAUGGUGGAGGUUAUAAUGCUCAAACCAGAUGCACCCAGUGCUGGUGGGAGUGGUGACGCUGCCGACCGUCCUUCAGUGGUUGCCUCCACUGGUGUUGUUGGUUCUUCUUCCUCAACUGCUCCAGAUUCUGCAGCAUAUGCUGAGAAGGCUAUAGCAAAACUGCCACCGCAUCUUGCUAGUACUUCAGUACUUAACUCCUAUACUAUACAAUAAUAUAAGUAUAUAUAUAUAUAUAUAUAUAUAUAUAUAUAUCCUAAAUGUCCUGGACGACUAGUGGACGACUAGGGUCGAUCAGACCCGACUAAUCAACCCUAGUCGACGACUAAUCACGAUUAGUCGUCUGGUCCACCCAUUGUUCGAUCAGACGAUUAGGCAAUUUAAAAACAUUGAUAUUGACAAUGCAAAGCAAUCAUACAAACCAGUACGUGCAAUGUAUAUGAUCAGAUUGCAUCCAAAGACUGCUUCAAGAGGUGAAUCCAAAACCACAAGAUUUCCCAAAAUAUACAUUCCAUCUCACACCAUUUACAGAGCUACCACAACUCGAAGGAAACAAUGAGUAUUUCAUUGGUACUGUUGUUUCUCUCUCUUUUCUAAUAGUCAAAAAAAUUAAACAUUCCAACAAAUUAAGAUUGAUGAAAUUAUAACCUACAGAUGUCAUUGGACGCAUUACGGCUCUUUCUGAUCCAACAAUGUUUUCAACCAACAGUGGAGCAAUACGCAUGAAAAGGCUGAUCCACCUUAUGGAUCUAAGGUAAAAUACUUAUUCCUUUUUUGAUAAUAAUCUAACGAAUUUAGAAUACAGCAAUACACCCCCACUAUAACAUAAUUACAAUUUAAUGAAGGGGAAAUAAAAUUGAGGUAUCCCUAUGGGGACCAAGAGCAGAGGAAUUCCCAGGAGAACAAAUCUUUAGAGCCAGUGAAAAGAAUCAUAUCAUUGCUAUCUUUGUUGGAACAUCAGUUAAAUCCUAUGGCGGAUCAACCCCUUUCCUCAGCGGCACAGCUGCAUGCCGCUGGUAUAUAAAUCUACCAGAGAUCAAUGAAAUCAACGCAUUCUAUGCAAGGUAAAUUGUAAUCCUUUGUAUAAUCUACCUUUCAUUUAAAAAAAUGCAAUACCUUUUAUUCUACAUGUAUACAGUCACCCUUGCACUUAACUAAGCUCUGACUUUUAUAUUUGCAGUAUUGGUGAACACUCCCAGCCAACCCAAAAGCUUCAUAUUCAGACGAUGAACGAGAUGCAGAGCAAGAUUGAACAGAAAUCACUUUUGGAAAUGAAAUCAAUCGAUCCGUUUGAGGACUUGGUAAGAUACUCUACAUCACUCUCAAACUAAAAAAAA